UGAAUCCAUAGGUUAAUGAGGCGAACCGGGGGAACUGAAACAUCUAAGUACCCCGAGGAAAAGAAAUCAACCGAGAUUCCCCCAGUAGCGGCGAGCGAACGGGGAGGAGCCCAGAGCCUGAAUCAGUGUGUGUGUUAGUGGAAGCGUCUGGAAAGGCGCGCGAUACAGGGUGACAGCCCCGUACACAAAAAUGCACAUAUUGUGAGCUCGAUGAGUAGGGCGGGACACGUGGUAUCCUGUCUGAAUAUGGGGGGACCAUCCUCCAAGGCUAAAUACUCCUGACUGACCGAUAGUGAACCAGUACCGUGAGGGAAAGGCGAAAAGAACCCCGGCGAGGGGAGUGAAAAAGAACCUGAAACCGUGUACGUACAAGCAGUGGGAGCCUCUUAAUGGGGUGACUGCGUACCUUUUGUAUAAUGGGUCAGCGACUUAUAUUCUGUAGCAAGGUUAACCGAAUAGGGGAGCCGAAGGGAAACCGAGUCUUAACUGGGCGUUAAGUUGCAGGGUAUAGACCCGAAACCCGGUGAUCUAGCCAUGGGCAGGUUGAAGGUUGGGUAACACUAACUGGAGGACCGAACCGACUAAUGUUGAAAAAUUAGCGGAUGACUUGUGGCUGGGGGUGAAAGGCCAAUCAAACCGGGAGAUAGCUGGUUCUCCCCGAAAGCUAUUUAGGUAGCGCCUCGUGAAUUCAUCUCCGGGGGUAGAGCACUGUUUCGGCAAGGGGGUCAUCCCGACUUACCAACCCGAUGCAAACUGCGAAUACCGGAGAAUGUUAUCACGGGAGACACACGGCGGGUGCUAACGUCCGUCGUGAAGAGGGAAACAACCCAGACCGCCAGCUAAGGUCCCAAAGUCAUGGUUAAGUGGGAAACGAUGUGGGAAGGCCCAGACAGCCAGGAUGUUGGCUUAGAAGCAGCCAUCAUUUAAAGAAAGCGUAAUAGCUCACUGGUCGAGUCGGCCUGCGCGGAAGAUGUAACGGGGCUAAACCAUGCACCGAAGCUGCGGCAGCGACACUAUGUGUUGUUGGGUAGGGGAGCG
Molecule: ribosomal RNA, 1038 nt
Filed under: Escherichia coli
Lineage: Bacteria; Pseudomonadati; Pseudomonadota; Gammaproteobacteria; Enterobacterales; Enterobacteriaceae
Description: partial 23S ribosomal RNA
Rfam family: Bacterial large subunit ribosomal RNA
Source: RNAcentral